RNAcentral lists this long non-coding RNA (544 nucleotides) under Carica papaya (papaya). RNAcentral's name for it is "long non-coding RNA (CPAP_LNC005994)". The record is from RNAcentral. Lineage: Eukaryota; Viridiplantae; Streptophyta; Magnoliopsida; Brassicales; Caricaceae.
AAGUUCUCUGGUGGAGCUUGUGAGGAUUCAACUGUUUUCUCUGACCAUGACACACGGUCAGUUGUUACAUGCUGCAAGGAAGAUGUAUAUCUACUUAUGGUUUGAGAUACAUGAUUUUCUACCGGCAAACCAUUCAGUUGGCCUACCUGCACUGCUGACAUUUUUUUGCAUCCAUUUGUUGUCCCUGAAAAAAAUUCUGUUUCAUGAAAUUCUGAAUUCAAAUUAAAAGGCCUCUUCUUUUGUUGCAUCUCCAGUUGAAUUUCAAUUUGGUCUUGUUCUUCAUCUCUCUUCUCUGGGUCAAAAUUCAAUGUUCUUUUGCAAGAUCUGGUACUGUUUCCAGCACUAGGAUCUGUUGUCUCUCUCAAAACAUCUGUCUGUUGAGGUGCUGAUUCCUUCAAGCCCUUCUUGCGUACGUACUUCCUUUUUCCAGUUGGGUUCUCUUUGGACUUUGUAUUUCUUGGAGUUGCAGAUUUUGGUGUCCUUUUGGGUUUGCCUUCUACAACUACUUUGGGCCUGUGUUUUCUGCUUUUGGGUGGCUUUUGCU